RNAcentral lists this non-coding RNA (31 nucleotides) under Mus musculus (house mouse). Lineage: Eukaryota; Metazoa; Chordata; Mammalia; Rodentia; Muridae. The record is from RNAcentral.
CUCCAUGCUUUUGAGUUGGCUUGCUUCCCCC